CUAACUAAGAAAAGACGAGUGAAUUCGAAGUAAAAAUAUAUAUAAAUAUGAUCCGAUCAGGAAGACAAGGAAACCAUUAAGAAUGAGGAAAAACUAGUCAAACUUGCCUUAUCUUGUCGUUACCUUUCCUAAUCCUAAAUUACCAAAGAUUUAGUCACACGAAGGGUUCCUAAAUACUUUGGGACAUUUCAUUACAUAUUCUACAAGUCCUAAACCUGCCCUAAAAGUCCAAGCCAUACCAUCAUUCACCAUUUCUCUUCCUUGCCGUGCAACGGAGCCAUUCCUUUCCUAUUUUCUGCCAUAAAUCACUCCAUGCCGCGCACAUUCAUCCAUGUUCCCUCCUUGCACUCAUUUGCUGCACCAUUCCACUUCCUUUCCUUUGUCUACCAUGUGCACAAUAUCCUUUCACCUCCUUGCACUCAUUGAUUCACCACUUACUCACAUUUCCACCCAUGUUAUGCAUAAUCUGUUGGAAAUAUGCCCUGAAAGUCAAUCUUUGGAAGAAAUCUUUCAGGACAAAUGAAUGGAUGUAUGGAUGAAUCUUAUACAUCAAAUGGCAAAGACACGAAUUAGGACUAUCUCAAUAAACGACAUAUGUCCUAAAUAGUGUAUCCAUGGACAAUGGAUCGAUUGGAGAAGUAAUCUAAUGAAGUUAGACUACAGAGACCUUCUUCACAUAACCAGAUGUCCAAAAGGUUCCUGGUCAUUGGAUUGUCGGAGGGAUACUGACAAUGCGUAGACC
RNAcentral lists this long non-coding RNA (742 nucleotides) under Malus domestica (apple). RNAcentral's name for it is "long non-coding RNA (MDOM_LNC018099)". Lineage: Eukaryota; Viridiplantae; Streptophyta; Magnoliopsida; Rosales; Rosaceae. The record is from RNAcentral.